Molecule: ribosomal RNA, 253 nt
Filed under: uncultured bacterium
Lineage: Bacteria
Description: partial 16S ribosomal RNA
Rfam family: Bacterial small subunit ribosomal RNA
Source: RNAcentral
UACAGAGGGGGCAAGCGUUAUUCGGAAUCAUUGGGCGUAAAGGGCGCGUAGGCGGCGAUUCAAGUGGCGGGUGAAAUCCCUCGGCUUAACCGAGGAACUGCCUGCCAGACUGGAUUGCUUGAGUCCGGGAGAGGUGAGUGGAAUUCCCAGUGUAGCGGUGAAAUGCGCAGAUAUCAGGAGGAACACCGGUGGCGAAGGCGGAUCUCUGGGCCUUACCUGACGCUCAGGUGCGAAAGCUAGGGGAGCGAACAGG